UUGGGUUUUAAUGGAGAAGUUGGAAUGUAAAAGGAGGAUUAUGAACAUAAAUUUGGGUCUACAGCUUCCACCCAAUAUUGUUGAGCUUACUACACUAGUGACCGUGGCUACUACAUUGGAAAAUAUAAUGGCAAACUUUAUGCAACUAUAUGGAUCCAUGGAACAUGUUGUAAUAAGGUUCAAUUAUGGAUGAUGCAAGUCUUUGAAGAUGGAGAGAGAUGGUUUAGUGUUGGGGGCGGACUCAUUUUUUGCUAUGAUAAAACUGGGACACAGAUCAAGCAAAAGUGUCUGUUGAGCAACGUCAAAGGAAGAGGACAUCUUGUAGGCCAAUUUUAUCACUUUGAUUCCUUGAAUUUUGGAUCUCUUCCAAACAUUUUAGUUGGAGACAACGAACGAAUAAUGAACUAAAUUUAUAUAUACUUUUUUUUUUUAUUUUCUUUCAUCUUAUUCAAGAGUUUAAAAAGAUUAUAUGUUACAACAGAGUUCUUGUAUUUGUUUAUCUCCCUCCAUAAUGGAAUAAAAGUUUAAGGAUAGCUCUUA
Molecule: long non-coding RNA, 540 nt
Organism: Cucumis melo (muskmelon)
Lineage: Eukaryota; Viridiplantae; Streptophyta; Magnoliopsida; Cucurbitales; Cucurbitaceae
Exons: 3
Source: RefSeq, a predicted model, not a curated record